GUUCUGGUAGUGUAGUUGGUAAUAUGCCUCCUGACAUUAUAAAGUUAGUCGUUGUCGGUUCGAACCCGGCCUGGGCCU
Molecule: non-coding RNA, 78 nt
Organism: Mycena galericulata
Lineage: Eukaryota; Fungi; Basidiomycota; Agaricomycetes; Agaricales; Mycenaceae
Source: the annotation of a GenBank genome assembly